Molecule: ribosomal RNA, 370 nt
Filed under: uncultured soil bacterium
Lineage: Bacteria
Description: bacterial SSU rRNA
Rfam family: Bacterial small subunit ribosomal RNA
Source: RNAcentral
AGAGUUUGAUCCUGGCUCAGAUUGAACGCUGGCGGCAUGCCUUACACAUGCAAGUCGAACGGCAGCACGGAGCUUGCUCUGGUGGCGAGUGGCAGAACGGGUGAGUAAUAUAUCGGAACGUACCCUAGAGUGGGGGAUAACAGUAGCCGAAAGUUACGCUAAUACCGCUACGAUCUAAGGAUGAAAGUGGGGGAUCGCAAGACCUCAUGCUCGUGGAGCGGCCGAUAUCUGAUUAGCUAGUUGGUAGGGUAAAAAGCCUACCAAGGCAUCGAUCAGUAACUGGUCUUGAAAAGGACCACCAGCCACACUGGAACUGAGACACGGUCCAGACUUCUACGGGAGGCCCACUGGGGGAAUUUUGGACAAUGGG